UUUAAACUUAUUAUUUGUUUGUGUCUUUUCAGAUUGGCUCAUGUAGCGCUGCUCCUCCUCCUCCCAACACAGGGGUAAAAAUCCCCACCUGCAAGUUCUCAAUAAAAGACACCUUCCUCACCUCACCAGAAGACCUUUACAGGGUCUUUCUCAAUCAGGAUAUGGUGCAGGCUUUUACACGCAGCAGUGCUGUGGUCGAGGCUGAAAAGGGUGGAAAGUUUCGCCUGUUGGACGGAAACGUGAACGGAGAGUUCCAGGAGCUGGUUCCUGAGCAGAAGAUAGUCAUGAAAUGGAGGUUCAACUCAUGGCCUUGUG
Molecule: long non-coding RNA, 315 nt
Organism: Sinocyclocheilus grahami
Lineage: Eukaryota; Metazoa; Chordata; Actinopteri; Cypriniformes; Cyprinidae
Exons: 3
Source: RefSeq, a predicted model, not a curated record